RNAcentral lists this ribosomal RNA (1363 nucleotides) under metagenome. RNAcentral describes it as "bacterial SSU rRNA". It matches the Rfam family "Bacterial small subunit ribosomal RNA". The record is from RNAcentral.
AGAGUUUGAUCCUGGCUCAGGACGAACGCUGGCGGCGCGCCUAACACAUGCAAGUCGAACGAGAGAUGAGGAGCUUGCUCUUCAAAUCGAGUGGCGAACGGGUGAGUAACGCGUGAGGAACCUGCCUCAAAGAGGGGGACAACAGUUGGAGACGACUGCUAAUACCGCAUAAGCCCACGGCUCGGCAUCGAGCAGAGGGAAAAGGAGCAAUCCGCUUUGAGAUGGCCUCGCGUCCGAUUAGCUAGUUGGUGAGGUAACGGCCCACCAAGGCGACGAUCGGUAGCCGGACUGAGAGGUUGAGCGGCCACAUUGGGACUGAGACACGGCCCAGACUCCUACGGGAGGCAGCAGUGGGGAAUAUUGCACAAUGGGGGAAACCCUGAUGCAGCGACGCCGCGUGGAGGAAGAAGGUCUUCGGAUUGUAAACUCCUGUUGUUGAGGAAGAUAAUGACGGUACUCAACAAGGAAGUGACGGCUAACUACGUGCCAGCAGCCGCGGUAGAACGUAGGUCACAAGCGUUGUCCGGAAUUACUGGGUGUAAAGGGAGCGCAGGCGGGAGAACAAGUUGGAAGUGAAAUCCAUGGGCUCAACCCAUGAACUGCUUUCAAAACUGUUUUUCUUGAGUAGUGCAGAGGUAGGCGGAAUUCCCGGUGUAGCGGUGGAAUGCGUAGAUAUCGGGAGGAACACCAGUGGCGAAGGCGGCCUACUGGGCACCAACUGACGCUGAGGCUCGAAAGUGUGGGUAGCAAACAGGAUUAGAUACCCUGGUAGUCCACACCGUAAACGAUGAUUACUAGGUGUUGGAGGAUUGACCCCUUCAGUGCCGCAGUUAACACAAUAAGUAAUCCACCUGGGGAGUACGACCGCAAGGUUGAAACUCAAAGGAAUUGACGGGGGCCCGCACAAGCAGUGGAGUAUGUGGUUUAAUUCGACGCAACGCGAAGAACCUUACCAAGUCUUGACAUCCCUUGACGAUGCUGGAAACAGUAUUUCUCUUCGGAGCAAGGAGACAGGUGGUGCAUGGUUGUCGUCAGCUCGUGUCGUGAGAUGUUGGGUUAAGUCCCGCAACGAGCGCAACCCUUAUGGUCAGUUACUACGCAAGAGGACUCUGGCCAGACUGCCGUUGACAAAACGGAGGAAGGUGGGGAUGACGUCAAAUCAUCAUGCCCUUUAUGACUUGGGCUACACACGUACUACAAUGGCGUUAAACAAAGAGAAGCAAGACCGCGAGGUGGAGCAAAACUCAGAAACAACGUCCCAGUUCGGACUGCAGGCUGCAACUCGCCUGCACGAAGUCGGAAUUGCUAGUAAUCGUGGAUCAGCAUGCCACGGUGAAUACGUUCCCGGGCCUUGUACACACCG